RNAcentral lists this ribosomal RNA (1605 nucleotides) under Triticum aestivum (bread wheat). Its description in RNAcentral is "partial small subunit ribosomal RNA". The record is from RNAcentral. Lineage: Eukaryota; Viridiplantae; Streptophyta; Magnoliopsida; Poales; Poaceae.
AUGGGGAUCGCCACGGAAGGAGACCCCAGUGAGAGGGAGAACCGCCGAGGCUCUCCGGACGAGAUGGAGAUGAAGGUGGCCAGGUUCUCCCGGGGGAAGGCUGCUAACCUGGGGGAUUUGCGCGACAAGAAACUGAAAGGGCAGCUCGCUGGAAAGGAGAAGCUGAUUGGAGUGUCCGCCAAAGCUGCCGCGCAGGCUGAAAAGUGGCUAUUGCCUAGCGUUGGGGGCUAUCUAGAGCCUGAAGGUCUCGAAAAGACAUACAGAUUUGAGCAGUGGUCGAUUCUGCCAAAGGUGGACAUUUGGAGUUCAAGAAAAUCAUUUGACAUGAUCUUACCUGUGCUUGGUCCUUAUACUCUAGAAUACACACCAAAUGGGCGCUACAUGAUAGUAGGUGGGCGAAAAGGUCAUAUUGCAUUUAUGGAUAUGUUGAAUAAUAUGGAACUCAUCAAUGAAUUUGAGGUGAAGGAAACUGUGCGCGACGUGGCAUUUUUACAGAACGAGCAACUCUUUGCAGUCGCCCAGAAAAAGUAUACCUACAUAUAUAAUCGUCAUGGCACAGAAAUUCACUGUCUAAAGGAACAUGGCGAAUCGCUGAAGCUUCAGUUUCUGGAUAAACACUUACUCUUGGCAUCGAUAAACAGCUUCGGGCAGCUCCACUACCAAGAUAUGAGCACUGGUGAGAUGGUUGCAAACUACAGCACAGGUCUUGGACGUACGGACGUGAUGCGGGUAAAUCCCUACAAUGCCGUCAUUGGCCUUGGACAUGCUCGUGGGAAACUCACAAUGUGGAAGCCAACCAGUGCGAAACCCCUUGUCACAAUGUUGUGCCAUAAGGGUCCUCUGACUGCAGUCGCAUUUGACAGGGGUGGUCACCUUAUGGCAACUGCAGGUGCUGACCGGAACCGGAAGAUUAAGAUUUGGGAUCUCAGGAAGUUUGAGGUUGUGCAUUCAUACACCGCACGUGCUCAGUCCCUAGAUUUCAGCCAGAAGGGGUUGUUGGCGAGCAGCAACGGGUCUCUAGUGGAGAUAUACAGGGAUUGCGGGGGCCAGGACUAUAAAAUCUAUAUGAAGCACAGAAUGAUAAAGGGAUAUCAGGUGGGCAAGGUUUUGUUCCGCCCUUACGAGGACAUCUGUGGGAUCGGGCACUCCAAGGGAUUUUCCUCCAUUCUCAUUCCUGGAUCAGGCGAGCCAAACUUCGAUACCUUCGUUGACAACCCCAUGGAGACCGGGAAGCAAAGGCAGGAGAAGGAGGUGCAAGCCCUCCUUGACAAGCUCCAACCAGAGACCAUCAUGCUUGAUCCGAAUGUGAUAGCCACCGUAAAACAACUGAAGAAGAAAAAGAAGAAAACCAAGAAAGAGAUCGAGGACGAGAUUGAAGGUGCCGUCGAGGCCGCCAAGAACAUUAGGGUCAAGAAUAAGACCAAGGGUAGGAGUAAGCCGAGCAGGCGGGCCAAGAAGGAGGAGGAGGAGGUUCUCAGAGCCAAGAGGCCUUUGUUGGAUCAACACAAGGAAGCCAGUGGGCACCCGGAUAAGAAACAGCGGAUCAGCGAUGAGACCGGGCUGCCGAAAACAUUGCAGCGGUUUGCCAAGAACAGGCAAUCGUGA